Molecule: non-coding RNA, 258 nt
Organism: Vicia faba (fava bean)
Lineage: Eukaryota; Viridiplantae; Streptophyta; Magnoliopsida; Fabales; Fabaceae
Source: the annotation of a GenBank genome assembly
AUGCAAAACUAUGAGCCGUUUUAUCUUCCCAAGGCGCCAGAACCAAAUGGGCAACUGGCGCACCAAACUGCUUGUCAUGUUGGCCGUGAGUCUAGCCUCCCUAAUUAUACCACCUUUUCACCGACUCUGCUAAUGAGAUAUGUGGCACAUACAAUUAGUCAAUGGAUAGUUGCAUUUCCCACAGUUGCAAGAGUAGAAACACUGAGAAAUUCAUCAUUCAGCAACAUUUCACUUUGCCCCGAAUCGUGGCGAUUUUAA